AUGCCAACCUUCGCCCUCACCGUCCUCCGUGUCCCAAAGAAAAUUCUCAAGGAGAUCAACAAGUGCAGGCGACGUUUCCUCUGGUGCCAGGACGACGAGAUUUUGGGCGCCAGCUGCAAGGUCAACUGGCCGGCGGUCUGCGCCCUGACGGAGCAAGGAGGCCUGGGCAUCCCUGACCUGCAGCAUUUUCGCAGAGCGCUGCGGCUGCGCUGGCUCUGGAUUGCCUGGCACCACCCGGAGCGGACUUGGGUGGGCACCGAGCUGCCUUGCGACCGCGCGGACAAGGCGCUCUUCGCGGCCUCCACCAGCAUUGCGAUCGGCGACGGGGCUCGGGCCUCCUUCUGGCUCUCUCCAUGGAUCGGCCAGGGCUGCCUCUCGCAACAAUUCCCAAGGAUGUUCAGCUACUCGCGGCGCAAGAAUAGAUCGGUGCGGGAGGCCCUCAGUGACGACACAUGGAUCCACGACCUCGCCCAUGGCAACAACCGCCAUCUCCUGCCGGACGUCCUCGCCCUUCAUCACCUGCUCCAGGGGACGGACGCGCAGCUGCAGCCAGGAGUGUCGGAUGACCUGACGUGGAGUAGAGAGAGCUCAGGAAAGUACGCAGCAAAGUCGGCCUACCUGGCGCAGUUCCAGGGUAGAACGGCGACUCACUUCGACCGUCUGGUUUGGAAGGCCUGGGCUCCAGGCAAAAUCAAAAUCUUUGCCUGGUUGCUCCUCUAG
RNAcentral lists this ribosomal RNA (720 nucleotides) under Triticum aestivum (bread wheat). RNAcentral describes it as "partial small subunit ribosomal RNA". The record is from RNAcentral. Lineage: Eukaryota; Viridiplantae; Streptophyta; Magnoliopsida; Poales; Poaceae.